RNAcentral lists this small RNA (59 nucleotides) under Caenorhabditis elegans. RNAcentral's name for it is "Unclassified non-coding RNA K08A2.15". The record is from RNAcentral. Lineage: Eukaryota; Metazoa; Nematoda; Chromadorea; Rhabditida; Rhabditidae.
AAAUAAAAAAUUUUAAAUGAUAAAAUGUAGGAAAUUUUAUGAAAAAUAUUUUGUUAGUU